GGGCAAAAUGACAGUCUUGGGAGUUCUGUUUGCUGUCCUCGUCCCUUGUUUCAACCACGGGAUCUGAUCUUGUGAUACACUGAAUACAUUGCUUCUCUCAAGGAGAUAUCAGGUCAUGGAAAGAAGACAACUAAAGAGAAUCUAUCAAUACCAAGCUUGCUCUUCUAUUCUCAGGUUGAGGUGACGGGUCAUCAGUGAGAGCUACAGUGAAGAAUGUAUUCAUUCAAAUUCUACAGCACACGGGCCAGGUUAAGAUCACCUUUUAUCAUCCACGUGCUUUCAAAAACAGCAGUCACAAAAUUGACAAAACCAACCAAGAAAUGGCUGUUGCUAUUCAUCUUCCUGCUCAUCUUCCAUGGGAGCUUGAGGAUAAACCUGAAGGCUUAAUUUUUAAGUUGUAUGGAAGCGAUUUCCUCUGAGAUCAGACUGUUUCCCUUGGAGGAACUGUUCAUACUUGGGAUGUUAAGAGAGAGGUGAAAUGGCAGGAUGUUCUAAGGGGAGGUGAAACGGUCCGUUCUUCGGGGAAGCUCUUCAAGUUCAAUACCCUUUCAGAAUCCUCGACACUGAACAGAUUGGCUACUUUUUUCCCCUCCCCAUGCAUAUAUAAACGAUAAGGAAUGCAGAGAGAUACUCCCAGAGAACCCUACCUCCACGGAAGGAGUAAAGACUAGCUGGUCCACUUGGAAGAAGAAACCUUGACCAACUGAGCUACCUUGAAAAGACACUCUACAACCUGCUGAGCUGCCUGAAGGCUGUACAGUAUGCUCCGGGUCCCAGUUUUUGGAGUUUUCACCUAUGCUGGAGUGCAUUGGAGGGAUGAAGUUGCCAAAUAAGUAAUCUCUCCUAUAAGUAAUUCUACUCCUAUAAGUAAUCUCUCAUACAAAUAAAUCCCUUUGAGUUA
Molecule: long non-coding RNA, 901 nt
Organism: Meriones unguiculatus (Mongolian gerbil)
Lineage: Eukaryota; Metazoa; Chordata; Mammalia; Rodentia; Muridae
Exons: 5
Source: RefSeq, a predicted model, not a curated record